Molecule: ribosomal RNA, 365 nt
Filed under: uncultured Ruminococcus sp.
Lineage: Bacteria; Bacillati; Bacillota; Clostridia; Eubacteriales; Oscillospiraceae
Description: bacterial SSU rRNA
Rfam family: Bacterial small subunit ribosomal RNA
Source: RNAcentral
UGGGGAAUAUUGCACAAUGGAGGAAACUCUGAUGCAGCGAUGCCGCGUGAGGGAAGAAGGUUUUAGGAUUGUAAACCUCUGUCUUUGGGGACGAUAAUGACGGUACCCAAGGAGGAAGCUCCGGCUAACUACGUGCCAGCAGCCGCGGUAAUACGUAGGGAGCGAGCGUUGUCCGGAAUUACUGGGUGUAAAGGGAGUGUAGGCGGGACUGUAAGUCAGAUGUGAAAACUAUGGGCUCAACCCAUAGACUGCAUUUGAAACUGCGGUUCUUGAGUGAAGUAGAGGUAAGCGGAAUUCCUAGUGUAGCGGUGAAAUGCGUAGAUAUUAGGAGGAACAUCAGUGGCGAAGGCGGCUUACUGGGGCUU